This is an RNA transcript of Styela clava, 918 nucleotides long. RefSeq lists it as uncharacterized. The record is from RefSeq and is a predicted model, not a curated record. Lineage: Eukaryota; Metazoa; Chordata; Ascidiacea; Stolidobranchia; Styelidae.
GUUCACGAAUCCGAACAUUAGAAGCUGUCUUGUGUUUUUAUUCGUGUCUGUACUCAAUAUUAUUCAUUCCGUUGAGUUCGAGAUGAAGGAAGCUUUAUUUUUGCAGAAUUCAUCUGUUUUAUCUGUGGUUAUACGAGAGAAACAUGUAUAUGAAGUUCCCCAAAGCAAUGAUCGAAUUGAUUGGAAUAAGGUAAUCAAGUUAUUUUGAUAUUGUGGGUUUUUACAUGGAAAUUUUGUAACGGAACUUCAAUUCUGCAAGCGAACUCAUUUUUCCACGAAACCUUCUGCUCAGCUGAUCAUUUCCGUACAGCAUCACCCGUCGCGCGCCUCGUUUUCAUAUAUUUGAGCAUUGAUUUUUUUUAUACAUUCAGAUACCAAGAAAUUGAUAUCUUGCAUUCGACAAUGGAGAUCCUAUUACGAGAGACUUGGAAUGCAAAACAGGAUUCAAGUUUACCGGAAAAAUUUUUGUGAACGGAAAAAAAAGAGGGCGAAGUGGAAGUAACCAGAUAUCUUCAACCCAAUGGAAACUACAAUAAUCGUCUUCCAGAAGCAAAUCAACUGAACAGUCGCGAAGGAGAGACAUUUCACCUGACGGACAAUGAAUAUUACUUCUUUCACAUUAGCUGUGAUGAAAAAGGUGAUUACAUCAUAUGGGCUGUCACUGCGACUCCUAAUGCAGAUGUUUCAACCAUUAUCAGAGCUAUUAACGCUCUCAGCAAUUUUGGAAUUCGACCGAAAUUCAAGCUUUCACGAUGUUCCGACAAGUCGAUUGAUUUUACAAAAUAAGAUAAAAAUUGACAUGACAAACUUCAAUAAAUAUACAGACUUAUUGCAGCAUCUCUAUAUAAUACAAGGAAGUGUUAGCAUGUUCAGUUGGAGUACUUUGUACAUAUGCAAGCAUAUUGCACGAACUUAAAU